CUGGCCGCCGCCGCGGACGACCCCGAGCUCGGCAGAGUGGAGACGUGGGCGAGUGAAAACUGGGAGGCGUAUGAAGCGUGGCUGCUGGGGGACGAGGACGAGCCCGAGCCCGAGCCGCCCGAGCACCUGCACUGGCCCGACACCGCCGAGAUAACCGAAGCGAGUAGCACGCCCCCGCCGGCGCCGUCACUAGUGACGUCAGCGGCCGCGUCACUGGCUUCAUUGUGGCGCGGCUGGGCCAAGUGAAACCGGGAACUGCUUACUUCAGCCUGUAACAUCCUACUGUUUCAAUGUUUGUCAUGUGCGGGCAUCGAACCCGCAAACGUCAGCGUAACAGCCGCAAACCAGGGCUGUGACCGUUGCUCCAACGUUGUCGGACCGGGAACUGAAUCUAGUCCAAUUGUUGUAUUUCGGGAAUUUAUUUUAUUUUUUCGGACCAAACUAGGUUACUUGUAGGUUGUAAUAGAAUUGUGUACAACAAUGUGCAAAUACCGUUAAUUACUUCAAUGUGAAAACUCAUUAUUAGGGGAA
Long non-coding RNA from Melitaea cinxia (Glanville fritillary), 531 nucleotides. RefSeq lists it as uncharacterized. The record is from RefSeq and is a predicted model, not a curated record. The transcript has 3 exons. Lineage: Eukaryota; Metazoa; Arthropoda; Insecta; Lepidoptera; Nymphalidae.